RNAcentral lists this ribosomal RNA (681 nucleotides) under Pseudomonas sp. SA069. Its description in RNAcentral is "bacterial SSU rRNA". It matches the Rfam family "Bacterial small subunit ribosomal RNA", at positions 79 to 756 of the family's 1533-position model. Lineage: Bacteria; Pseudomonadati; Pseudomonadota; Gammaproteobacteria; Pseudomonadales; Pseudomonadaceae. The record is from RNAcentral.
CUUGCUCUCUGAUUCAGCGGCGGACGGGUGAGUAAUGCCUAGGAAUCUGCCUGGUAGUGGGGGACAACGUCUCGAAAGGGACGCUAAUACCGCAUACGUCCUACGGGAGAAAGCAGGGGACCUUCGGGCCUUGCGCUAUCAGAUGAGCCUAGGUCGGAUUAGCUAGUUGGUGAGGUAAUGGCUCACCAAGGCGACGAUCCGUAACUGGUCUGAGAGGAUGAUCAGUCACACUGGAACUGAGACACGGUCCAGACUCCUACGGGAGGCAGCAGUGGGGAAUAUUGGACAAUGGGCGAAAGCCUGAUCCAGCCAUGCCGCGUGUGUGAAGAAGGUCUUCGGAUUGUAAAGCACUUUAAGUUGGGAGGAAGGGCAGUAAAUUAAUACUUUGCUGUUUUGACGUUACCGACAGAAUAAGCACCGGCUAACUCUGUGCCAGCAGCCGCGGUAAUACAGAGGGUGCAAGCGUUAAUCGGAAUUACUGGGCGUAAAGCGCGCGUAGGUGGUUUGUUAAGUUGGAUGUGAAAGCCCCGGGCUCAACCUGGGAACUGCAUUCAAAACUGACAAGCUAGAGUAUGGUAGAGGGUGGUGGAAUUUCCUGUGUAGCGGUGAAAUGCGUAGAUAUAGGAAGGAACACCAGUGGCGAAGGCGACCACCUGGACUGAUACUGACACUGAGGUGCGA